GGACUCGCCGCUCAUCCUAAGAGGACUCGCCGCUCUUCCAUGACGCCGCCGCUGCAACGCGGCGUUGUUCCAGCACCAAAUCGCAGAUGCAUCUUUGCAAAUCCAACAAAGUGGUGGGAAUAUCUACAACAUGAAGUUUCUCAAGCUGAUAGGGCAUUCUUCUGCAUGUUUGUGACAUGAUCAUGGUGCACAUAUAUUUAAUAGUGAAGGUCUUCGGCUAUCACUAUGAAUGGUUCUGCUGUUGUGUAAGUGAUUUCUUAAGUGUUGUGUUGUAACACAUUAGAGUAAAAGAUUAAUUGUGUAUGAAGAAUAAUAUUACGGAGUCAGGCACAAUUUGACCUUAGUUCUGACCAAAUUAAUCUUUAUUUGUUUGCUA
Long non-coding RNA from Triticum aestivum (bread wheat), 376 nucleotides. RefSeq lists it as uncharacterized. Lineage: Eukaryota; Viridiplantae; Streptophyta; Magnoliopsida; Poales; Poaceae. The record is from RefSeq and is a predicted model, not a curated record. The transcript has 2 exons.